Molecule: long non-coding RNA, 597 nt
Filed under: Homo sapiens (human)
Lineage: Eukaryota; Metazoa; Chordata; Mammalia; Primates; Hominidae
Description: HSALNT0055850
Source: RNAcentral
GAAACUCAGUUCAGAACUCACCGGAGCUGCCGUCUGGGAGGGGGGAGGGCGGAAGAACCCUGAGGUUUUUCCUCACAUUUCUGUCCCAUUUUUGGAACCUCUGGAUUUAAAGAAAUGAAAACCUCAAGUUUGUGGAGAUUUUAAGAAAUGGUUAUUCCAAUGGAAACAGCUGGAGAACUUAUAUUUCCGUGAGAAAAAAUUUGCUGUUGAAGUUCAUGAUCCACGAAGGAUUUCAGUUUCAAGAAGAACCUUUGGGCAAAGUGGCUUGUUUGUGCAAACAUGGUAUGCUAACUCUUCUCUCAUCAAGUCCAUUUGGGUAAUGGCAAUUAGUCAGCAUCAGUUUUACUUGGACCGGAAGCAAAGCAAAGCAAAAAUUCCUUCAGCCAGGAGUUUAGAUGAGAUUGCAAUGGAUUUGACAGAGACAGGAACACAAAGGGCCUCCAAGCUGGUGACACUGGAGACGAAAAGUCAGUUCAUCAUGGUUCUCAAGACUCAGAAGUUAGUGAAGAGCAAAAGAGAGAAAAAAUCCUUGAACUAAAGAAGAAGGAGAAACUAUUACAAGAAAAACUUCUGAAAAAAGUUGAGGAGCUUAAGAAG